This 323-nucleotide ribosomal RNA is filed under the name uncultured Glissomonadida. RNAcentral describes it as "SSU rRNA". The stretch from base 110 to 323 matches the Rfam family "Eukaryotic small subunit ribosomal RNA", at positions 741 to 955 of the family's 1831-position model. The record is from RNAcentral. Lineage: Eukaryota; Cercozoa; Glissomonadida.
GAUUUCUGGCAUGGUGUACCUGGCCCGCGGCGUUAGCUUGUGAGUGCUGGGUUGCGCCUGCCAUCCUUACUAGACAGCGAUACUACCCUUCACGGGGCCGGUAUCGACCAUCUAGAUCUUUUACUUUGAAAAAAUUAGAGUGUUUCAAGCAGGCGUUUGCUAUGAAUACAUUAGCAUGGAAUAAUCGACGAUGGCUUCGGCCCGCUCGUUGGUUUCUUCGCGGACUGAAGUGAUGAUUGAUAGGGAUAGUUGGGGGUGCUCGUAUUCAGCGGCCAGAGGUGAAAUUCUCGGAUUCGCUGAAGACGAACUAAUGCGAAAGCAUU